UACGGAGGGUGCAAGCGUUAUCCGGAUUCACUGGGUUUAAAGGGUGCGUAGGUGGUUUUGUAAGUCAGUGGUGAAAGCCCGGAGCUCAACUCCGGAACUGCCAUUGAUACUGCUUAACUUGAAUCAACUUGAGGUGGAUGGAAUAUUACAUGUAGCGGUGAAAUGCUUAGAUAUGUAAUAGAACACCGAUUGCGAAGGCAGUUCACUAAGGUUGUAUUGACACUGAGGCACGAAAGCGUGGGGAGCAAACAGG
This 253-nucleotide ribosomal RNA is filed under the name uncultured bacterium. Its description in RNAcentral is "partial 16S ribosomal RNA". It matches the Rfam family "Bacterial small subunit ribosomal RNA", at positions 524 to 776 of the family's 1533-position model. The record is from RNAcentral.